GUCUCUGUAGUGCAGUGAGUCAGUGUGUUUGGCUGUUAACCAGAAGCUUGUUGGUUCGAACCCAUUCAGGGAUG
Podarcis lilfordi (Lilford's wall lizard) is the source of this 74-nucleotide non-coding RNA. The record is from the annotation of a GenBank genome assembly. NCBI's taxonomy places the organism in Eukaryota, Metazoa, Chordata, Lepidosauria, Squamata, Lacertidae.